This 500-nucleotide ribosomal RNA is filed under the name uncultured Eubacteriales bacterium. RNAcentral's name for it is "uncultured Clostridiales bacterium partial 16S ribosomal RNA". The record is from RNAcentral. Lineage: Bacteria; Bacillati; Bacillota; Clostridia; Eubacteriales.
CACGUAGUUAGCCGGGGCUUCCUCCUUGGGUACCGUCAGUUCUUCUUCCCCAAGGACAGAAGUUUACGACCCGAAGGCCUUCUUCCUUCACGCGGCGUUGCUGCAUCAGGCUUUCGCCCAUUGUGCAAUAUUCCCCACUGCUGCCUCCCGUAGGAGUUUGGACCGUGUCUCAGUUCCAAUGUGGCCGUUCACCCUCUCAGGUCGGCUACUGAUCGUCGCCUUGGUAAGCCGUUACCUUACCAACUAGCUAAUCAGACGCAGGCCCAUCCUUUGCCGAUAAAUCUUUGACCAUCUGCUCAUGUAACCAAAUGGUGUUAUCAGGUUUUAAUCAUCGUUUCCAAUGGCUAUCCCUGUGCAAAGGGCAGGUUGCCUACGCGUUACUCACCCGUCCGCCGCUUUCCACUGACUCCUUCAACCGAAGUAUCUGUCAUCAGCUUCUCGCUCGACUUGCAUGUGUUAGGCACGCCGCCAGCGUUCAUCCUGAGCCAGGAUCAAACUCU